GAUGAACGCUGGCGGCGCGCCUAACACAUGCAAGUCGAACGAUUAAAGCACCUUAGGGUGUGUAUACAGUGGCGAACGGCUGAAUAACACGUGGGCAACUUGCCCCUUUCAUUGGGAUAGCCACGGGAAACCGUGGAUAAUACCGAAUACUUCGAGACUUCCGCAUGUAAGGCUCGAGAAAGCUCCGGCGGAGAGGGAUGGGCCCGCGGCCUGUUAGCUUGUUGGUGGGGUAACGGCCUACCAAGGCAAUGAUGGGUCGCUGGGUUGAGAGACCGACCAGCCAGAUGGGGACUGAGACACGGGCCGGAGUAGUACGGGAGGCAGCAGUGGGGAAUCGAGCAUAAUGGGCGAAAGCCGGAUGCAGCGACGCCGCGUGCGGGAUGAUGGCCUUCGGGUUGUAAACCGCUUUCAGAAGGGACGAGGCGAAAGUGACGGUACCGGCAGAAGAAGCCCCGGCUAACUACGUG
Molecule: ribosomal RNA, 467 nt
Filed under: uncultured bacterium
Lineage: Bacteria
Description: partial 16S ribosomal RNA
Rfam family: Bacterial small subunit ribosomal RNA
Source: RNAcentral